RNAcentral lists this ribosomal RNA (492 nucleotides) under Triticum aestivum (bread wheat). RNAcentral describes it as "partial small subunit ribosomal RNA". Lineage: Eukaryota; Viridiplantae; Streptophyta; Magnoliopsida; Poales; Poaceae. The record is from RNAcentral.
AUGGAAGGUAAGAGUGGUCUCCGGGCUGUGAUCCUCCUCCUGGGCGCGGUCCUCGUCAUAGGGAGCUUGGUGCCGCUGGCCCAGGCAGAUCCGACGGCCGCCGCCACAGGAGCUGCGGACGCCAAGUUCUGCUGCAAGGACAAGAUAGGGAGCCACUGCUACGCCGCCUGCAUCACGCAGUACGGCCCCAUCCCGUUCUGCGCAGAAAUGUGCUGCUGUGUGCAGCUUACCAGCGGUAGAUGCCCGAGGCAAUGCCCUACCCCGGCCGACCCCAGACUUUUUCUUGCGAACAGCUCCACCUCCGACCUUCUCACCAGCAACGCCGUUGAGGUUGAGAGCUGCACGCUGAGGUGCUCGUCCAUCGUCUGUGACAGCAUGCGCAAUGUUAUCGAUGGCGGCAGCGAGGGGACGAAAGCCGUCGUGGAGCGCUGCGGCGAUGCAUGCGGCCGCUUCUGUGCCGGCGCCGGCGGCGCUGCAUCCCUUGAUGCUUAA